RNAcentral lists this ribosomal RNA (408 nucleotides) under uncultured bacterium. RNAcentral's name for it is "partial 16S ribosomal RNA". It matches the Rfam family "Bacterial small subunit ribosomal RNA", at positions 28 to 526 of the family's 1533-position model. The record is from RNAcentral.
GACGAACGCUGGCGGCGUGCUUAACACAUGCAAGUCGAACGAAGUGGCGAACGGGUGAGUAACGCGUAAUCAACCUGCCCUUCAGCGGGGGACAACAGUUGGAAACGACUGCUAAUACCGCAUACUGAAGGAGGGGAUUGCGUCUGAUUAGCUAGUUGGAGGGGUCACGGCCCACCAAGGCGAUGAUCAGUAGCCGGUCUGAGGGGAGGAACCGCCACCUUGGGACUGCGCACCGGCCCAGACGCCUACGGGAGGCAGCAGUGGGGAAUCUUCCGCAAUUGACGAAAGGCGGACGGAGCAACGCCGCGUGAGUGAUGACGGCCUUCGGGUUGUAAAGCUCUGUUUGUCGGGACGCGGUACCGGAAUAGAAAGCCACGGCUAACUACGUGCCAGCAGCCGCGGUAAUUC